This 1206-nucleotide long non-coding RNA is filed under the name Mus musculus (house mouse). RNAcentral's name for it is "predicted gene, 36480". Lineage: Eukaryota; Metazoa; Chordata; Mammalia; Rodentia; Muridae. The record is from RNAcentral.
ACACAAAACUAGCCAGUACACCUUCCAUUCUGAGAAAUGAUUACGAAGAGAAGAGUUUUGUGAAGACUUGAGAUUUGAAUCAUUCUCAGCCUCAGAGAAGAUUCUUAUUGCGGAAGAUAGUGACUAAUGCAGAAGUUAAUAACUGGCCUCUGAACAUGACGUGGCUAUUGCAUACAUGAUCUCAAAGCAGCUGUUAUUACCAGGAUAAGACCACAAGAUCUUCAGAAGAUAAAGAGUUACACAUAUCAGAACGAAUGAAAGAGAAAAUCGGAAGACUAUCUGUCCAGAUGAAGAGCUAGUAGCUGUUAAUGUCUGCUAAAGAAGGGGAGCUACUUUACUCUGUGAGAGAAGAAAAAUCAAGCCAUAAGAAUAAAAGACAGACAAGGGAUGGACUAUUGUACCGUCUCAGCUAAACCAACCAACUAUAAAAUUAGGCUGCCGUUUUCAGAAAGCCGCUCUCGGGAGUUUACCUCCCACUGGCCCUGCUUACACUGCUGCUGGAGGAUGAUCUUCAUGAAGUCAGAGGUGCGCACCAACUUAGAGGAAGACAUAGGAAACGAAUAGAGAACCCCCACAGACAAACCCCCAGAAAGGCCUCCCACAGAACCAUCUGCUUAAAUUUGGCAAAACUUUGGCAAAGAAGAGCACUGGCGAGUAAUGAUGUAUUAGCGAUUCGUUGUUUUCCGUAAACAGCGGUCAUUAACCAGCAUCUAAACUUAACUAACUCUCCAAUCUCAGAGUCAAGUGUUGUUGGCACUUAGAACACACUUAGAACUGUGCUACCUUCAGAAGCAAAGUUUGUUUCUGACCUCUACUCUUUACUCUUCUAUCUUUCCUCUUGUUCUCUCUCAAUCUCUCUCUCUCUCUCUCUCUCUCUCUCUCUCUCUCUCUCAGGAGGUUAUAAACAGAAGAAUAACUUCUACUUCUGAAAACAAUUUUCAAUACACACACAUGAUACUAGAUAUCUUUGGAGCAUCUUCGACUUGUGUCAGAUGUAUGGAAAAAAUUACCUUUUCCUCAGUUUUGAUAAAAACUUAAAAUUUCUCUAAAAGAAUUAAAAGGAACCUAAGAGCUAGAUUUUAUUGUUUUAAUUUAAUUUAAUUUAUUUUAUCUUCCUUCCUUUAAAUUUGGAUUAAUUUGCAUGGGAUACUUUCUUAUCAUGAUAGCCAUGUAAAAUAAUGUCAUAUAAUAAAACUAUUUGUCUUU